This 253-nucleotide ribosomal RNA is filed under the name uncultured bacterium. RNAcentral's name for it is "partial 16S ribosomal RNA". It matches the Rfam family "Bacterial small subunit ribosomal RNA", at positions 524 to 776 of the family's 1533-position model. The record is from RNAcentral.
UACGGAGGGUGCGAACGUUAAUCGGAAUUACUGGGCGUAAAGCGCGCGUAGGUGGUUCGGCAAGUGGGAUGUGAAAGCCCCGGGCUCAACCUGGGAAUUGCAUUCCAAACUACCGAGCUAGAGUAUGGUAGAGGGAGGUAGAAUUUCCUGUGUAGCGGUGAAAUGCGUAGAUAUAGGAGGGAAUACCGGUGGCGAAGGCGGCCUCCUGGACCAAUACUGACACUGAGGUGCGAAAGCGUGGGGAGCGAACAGG